RNAcentral lists this ribosomal RNA (274 nucleotides) under uncultured bacterium. RNAcentral describes it as "partial 16S ribosomal RNA". It matches the Rfam family "Bacterial small subunit ribosomal RNA", at positions 523 to 796 of the family's 1533-position model. The record is from RNAcentral.
AUACGGGGGGGGCUAGCGUUGUUCGGAAUUACUGGGCGUAAAGCGCACGUAGGCGGACUGAUCAGUUGGGGGUGAAAUCCCAGGGCUCAACCAUGGAACUGCCUCCAAUACUGUCAGUCUUGAGAUCGGAAGAGGUGAGUGGAAUUCCUAGUGUAGAGGUGAAAUUCGUAGAUAUUAGGAGGAACACCAGUGGCGAAGGCGGCUCACUGGUCCGAUACUGACGCUGAGGUGCGAAAGCGUGGGGAGCAAACAGGAUUAGAUACCCUAGUAGUCC